Molecule: long non-coding RNA, 518 nt
Organism: Paramisgurnus dabryanus
Lineage: Eukaryota; Metazoa; Chordata; Actinopteri; Cypriniformes; Cobitidae
Source: RefSeq, a predicted model, not a curated record
AUUGCAGAGAAAUUGUCUAAACUGGUAUUAACUAUUCCUGGUAAAUCGCGGAGAAGAGUGGAAUGAACAAAAAAGGCAGACCGAGACUAGAACCACCAGCAGCGUAACACGGAAAUCUUGGAACAAAGAGACACCGAGUGGUUCGUGUUGUCCGGUUUGGAUAUCAGCGGUAAAGCGAACGUUGUGUGUACUAUUGCAAAAUAUAUAUAGCGGAUCUCCACGGUUAGGAUACAGACCACAACGCUUUGGACGUAUCUUUAAAAAAGAGAAAAAUCAGAGACUUUUUGGAUUUGUCUGGGGGACAUUUUAAACAUUUUGUGACAAAUUGGAUUUAAAACAUUUCGGAUAUUGGAUACCUAGUUUGAUAUGUCCACAGAGAUUGUUUAAGACGUUUUCACCUCAUUUUAGGGUUUAUUUUUAAUUAAAGGCUUCUUAAAACAUGUAUGAAAAUGUGUAUAUUAUACAAUGAGUCUUAUAUUGUCUGCUCUGACAAAAAUAAAUUAUUAUUUUAGAUUUUA